CGGGGCAUAGCGCAGGUGGUAGCGCGCAUGGUUCGGGACCAUGAGGUCGCAGGUUCAAGUCCUGUUGCCCCGACCA
This 76-nucleotide transfer RNA is filed under the name Thermoanaerobacteraceae bacterium. RNAcentral describes it as "tRNA-Pro". It matches the Rfam family "tRNA". Rfam says of the family: Transfer RNA (tRNA) molecules are approximately 80 nucleotides in length. Their secondary structure includes four short double-helical elements and three loops (D, anti-codon, and T loops). Lineage: Bacteria; Bacillati; Bacillota; Clostridia; Thermoanaerobacterales; Thermoanaerobacteraceae. The record is from RNAcentral. RNAcentral also lists the same sequence under 1 other name.